RNAcentral lists this ribosomal RNA (255 nucleotides) under uncultured bacterium. Its description in RNAcentral is "partial 16S ribosomal RNA". It matches the Rfam family "Bacterial small subunit ribosomal RNA", at positions 524 to 777 of the family's 1533-position model. The record is from RNAcentral.
UACGGGGGGGGGUAAGCGUUGUUCGGAAUUACUGGGCGUAAAGGGCUCGUAGGCGGCCAACUAAGUCAGACGUGAAAUCCCUCAGCUUAACUGGGGAACUGCGUCUGAUACUGGAUGGCUUGGAUUUGGGAGAGGAAUGCGGAAUUCCAGGUGUAGCGGUGAAAUGCGUAGAUAUCUGGAGGAACACCGGUGGCGAAGGCGGCAUUCUGGACCAAUAUUGACGCUGAGGAGCGAAAGCCAGGGGAGCAAACGGGG